Molecule: long non-coding RNA, 111 nt
Organism: Thalassophryne amazonica
Lineage: Eukaryota; Metazoa; Chordata; Actinopteri; Batrachoidiformes; Batrachoididae
Exons: 3
Source: RefSeq, a predicted model, not a curated record
AACUUUGGAUGCUAACAGUCAGAAGUGGAUUGGCCAUUGAGAGUACCGGGACUUUUCCCGGUGGGCCGAUCAGUAAAUGGGCCGAUGGCUGCCCAUUUUUUUUAUUUUUCA